Panicum hallii is the source of this 960-nucleotide long non-coding RNA. RefSeq lists it as uncharacterized. The record is from RefSeq and is a predicted model, not a curated record. Lineage: Eukaryota; Viridiplantae; Streptophyta; Magnoliopsida; Poales; Poaceae. The transcript has 3 exons.
UCAUUCAUAGCGCCUCUCCGUAACUGAACCCAUGGGGGUGCGCCGUGGGCGGCGGCGCGUGCAAGUGGCAUCGCGUGGGCGGCGGGGACUUCUACGUGCAGUGACGGCGACUGCGGCAGCGGCACACGACCCCUCUCUCUCACCAGCGGGGCCUGCAUCCCAUCUCCAUGGCCGGCAGCGACGCGCGGCCCUGUCCCUCGCCGGGGCGGGGUUCCCUCCCUAGCUGCUUUGAUGUCCUCGCACAAGGGGGGCGGCGCGUGCGGGUGCUGCGGAGCAGGCAUGAGCGCUCGGCCAGCUCGCACGGCGCCUCCAAUGCGAUGCGGUGCGGUGCCGGGAGGAGUAUGUGCGGGUGCCAUCCCAGAUCCCCAAUGUGGAGCGCAGCGUAGUAGCCAGCCGUGGCGGAGAGUGGCUUCAUCACGGCAAGUUGGCCAACUGCUGUGAACCUAUCUGAUGCUGCAACAAAGCUUUAGAAUUUGGUGUCAAGCACAGCAAAAACUGCACAGGAUGCAAAAGCUGUCUUUCAGAUAUUUGGAGAAUCAGGAGAUGGAGAAGUUCAAGCAGUGAGUGGAAAGAGGGAAAAGAAGAGGCGAAGAGUGAUCUGCAGCAGGGGUUUCUCUACUUUAGUGAUCUGCAGCAGGGGUUUCUCUACUUUCUUUUGUCCCUGGUUAGUGUUCAUUGUUCUACUGAGUAUGCAUUGUUUGUGAUACUUGUGAUGUAGCCUAAGAAACCAGCUUGUAUUGUCUCAACUGGAUGUAACUCGAAGUAUUUUUGAACUGCUGUUUCUGCUUUUAUUUAUAUGAGACUUGUGGUUGCUGGGGCCAUUUUGGGAACUGUUAUAGCUGUUGGGGGCUUAACAUGUGGUCUGUAAACUGUGAUGGCUAUGCUAAAGGAGUACCAAUUGCUUGGCCAACAAAGUUUGUAUGUUAUAGCUAGCUUUUUGAAUAUGUGAUGUUACUACUA